This 440-nucleotide ribosomal RNA is filed under the name uncultured bacterium. RNAcentral's name for it is "partial 16S ribosomal RNA". It matches the Rfam family "Bacterial small subunit ribosomal RNA", at positions 338 to 795 of the family's 1533-position model. The record is from RNAcentral.
CCUACGGGUGACAGCAGUGGGGAAUAUUGCACAAUGGGGGAAACCCUGAUGCAGCGACGCCGCGUGAGUGAAGAAGUAUUUCGGUAUGUAAAGCUCUAUCAGCAGGGAAGAAAAUGACGGUACCUGAUUAAGAAGCCCCGGCUAACUACGUGCCAGCAGCCGCGGUAAUACGUAGGGGGCAAGCGUUAUCCGGAUUUACCGGGUGUAAAGGGAGCGUAGACGGCAGGGCAAGUCUGAAGUGAAAUGCCGGGGGUUAACCCCGGAAGUGCUUUGGAAACUGUGCAGCUAGAGUGAAGGAGAGGUAAGUGGAAUUCCUAGUGUAGCGGUGAAAUGCGUAGAUAUUAGGAGGAACACCAGUGGCGAAGGCGGCUUACUGGACUGUAACUGACGUUGAGGCUCGAAAGCGUGGGGAGCAAACAGGAUUAGAUACCCGUGUAGUC